UAAUUUAAAGUCUAGCCUGCCCAAUGAUAAUUUUAAUGGCCGCAGUAUUUUGACUGUGCAAAGGUAGCAUAAUCAUUAGUUUCUUAAUUAGAAACUGGAAUGAAAGGUUGAACGAAAAAAUAACUGUCUCUUUAUAAUUUUUUUAGAAUUUUAUUUUUAAGUUAAAAAGCUUAAAUAGAUUUGAAAGACGAGAAGACCCUAUAGAGUUUAAUAUUUUCUAAAUUGAAUUUUUAAAUAGAAUAAUUUUUAUUUAAUUGAAGAAAAUAUUUAAUUGGGGUGAUUGAAAAAUUUAAUUAACUUUUUUUAUAUUAAAACAUAAAUAUAUGACUAAUUGAUCCAUUUUUAAUGAUUAAAAGAUUAAAUUACCUUAGGGAUAACAGCGUAAUUUUUUUUAAGAGUUCUUAUCGAUAAAAAAGUUUGCGACCUCGAUGUUGGAUUAAAAUUAAAAUUUGGUGUAGAAGCUAAAUCAUUAGGUCUGUUCGACCUUUAAAAUUUU
Molecule: ribosomal RNA, 496 nt
Filed under: Aleochara zerchei
Lineage: Eukaryota; Metazoa; Arthropoda; Insecta; Coleoptera; Staphylinidae
Description: partial 16S ribosomal RNA
Rfam family: Bacterial large subunit ribosomal RNA
Source: RNAcentral